This 460-nucleotide ribosomal RNA is filed under the name uncultured bacterium. Its description in RNAcentral is "partial 16S ribosomal RNA". It matches the Rfam family "Bacterial small subunit ribosomal RNA", at positions 338 to 795 of the family's 1533-position model. The record is from RNAcentral.
CCUACGGGUGGCUGCAGUGAGGAAUAUUGGUCAAUGGACGCAAGUCUGAACCAGCCAUGCCGCGUUCAGGAAGACGGCUCUAUGAGUUGUAAACUGCUUUUGUACGGGGGUAAACGCAGAUACGCGUAUCUGUCUGAAAGUAUCGUACGAAUAAAGAUCGGCUAACUCCUUUCCAGCAGCCGAGGUAAUACGGAGGAUUCAAGCGUUAUCCGGAUUUAUUGGGUUUCAAGGGUGCGUAGGCGGUCGGAUAAGGUAGAGGUGAAAUCCCGAGGCUCAACUUCGGAAUUGCCGAUGAUACUGUUCGGCUAGAGAGUAGUUGCGGUAGGCGGAAUGUAUGGUGGAGCGGUGAAAUGCUUAGAGAUCAUACAGAACACCGAUUGCGAAGGCAGCUUACCAAGCUACUUCUGACGUUGAGGCACGAAAGCGUGGGGAGCAAACAGGAUUAGAUACCCUAGUAGUC